Molecule: non-coding RNA, 285 nt
Organism: Nomascus leucogenys (northern white-cheeked gibbon)
Lineage: Eukaryota; Metazoa; Chordata; Mammalia; Primates; Hylobatidae
Rfam family: Metazoan signal recognition particle RNA
About the family: The signal recognition particle (SRP) is a universally conserved ribonucleoprotein. It is involved in the co-translational targeting of proteins to membranes.
Source: Rfam
GCUGGCCUUUAGUCCCAGCUACUCAGGAGGCUGAGGCAGGAGAAUUGCUUGAGCCCAGGAGUUCUGAGCUGUCAUGCACUAUGCCAGCUGGGUGUCUGCACUAAGUUUAGCAUCAAUAUGGUGACCUCCCGAGAUCAGGGAAUCACCAUGUUGCCUAAGGAGGGGUGAACUAGCCCAGGUCUGAAACGGAACAGGUCAGGACCCCUGUGCUGAUCAGUAGUGACAUCGUGCCUGUGAAUAGCCACUGUACUUCAGGCUGGGCAACACAGCAAGACCUUGUCUCAC